Molecule: ribosomal RNA, 525 nt
Filed under: uncultured Bacillota bacterium
Lineage: Bacteria; Bacillati; Bacillota
Description: bacterial SSU rRNA
Rfam family: Bacterial small subunit ribosomal RNA
Source: RNAcentral
AGAGUUUGAUCCUGGCUCAGGACGAACGCUGGCGGCGUGCCUAAUACAUGCAAGUCGAGCGGAUUUAUCCUUCGGGAUAAGUUAGCGGCGGACGGGUGAGUAACACGUAGGUAACCUGCCUAUAAGAUCGGGAUAACUAUCGGAAACGAUAGCUAAGACCGGAUAACUGGAUUUCUCGCAUGAGAGAAUCAUGAAACACGGAGCAAUCUGUGGCUUAUAGAUGGGCCUGCGGCGCAUUAGCUAGUUGGUAGGGUAAUGGCCUGCCAAGGCGACGAUGCGUAGCCGACCUGAGAGGGUGACCGGCCACACUGGGACUGAGACACGGCCCAGACUCCUACGGGAGGCAGCAGUAGGGAAUCUUCCGCAAUGGACGCAAGUCUGACGGAGCAACGCCGCGUGAGUGAUGAAGGUUUUCGGAUCGUAAAGCUCUGUUGCCCUAGACGAACAGCAAGGAGAGUAACUGCUCUUUGUGUGACGGUAUAGGAGAAGAAAGCCCCGGCUAACUACGUGCCAGCAGCCGCGGUA